RNAcentral lists this ribosomal RNA (1490 nucleotides) under uncultured Halomonas sp. RNAcentral's name for it is "bacterial SSU rRNA". It matches the Rfam family "Bacterial small subunit ribosomal RNA". The record is from RNAcentral. Lineage: Bacteria; Pseudomonadati; Pseudomonadota; Gammaproteobacteria; Oceanospirillales; Halomonadaceae.
GCCUAACACAUGCAAGUCGAGCGGCAGCACGGGAAGCUUGCUUCCUGGUGGCGAGCGGCGGACGGGUGAGUAAUGCAUAGGAAUCUGCCCGGUAGUGGGGGAUAACCUGGGGAAACCCAGGCUGAUACCGCAUACGUCCUACGGGAGAAAGCAGGGGCUCUUCGGACCUUGCGCUAUCGGAUGAGCCUAUGUCGGAUUAGCUGGUUGGUGAGGUAAUGGCUCACCAAGGCGACGAUCCGUAGCUGGUCUGAGAGGAUGAUCAGCCACAUCGGGACUGAGACACGGCCCGAACUCCUACGGGAGGCAGCAGUGGGGAAUAUUGGACAAUGGGCGCAAGCCUGAUCCAGCCAUGCCGCGUGUGUGAAGAAGGCCCUCGGGUUGUAAAGCACUUUCAGUGGGGAAGAACGCCUUCCGGUUAAUACCCGGGAGGAAAGACAUCACCCACAGAAGAAGCACCGGCUAACUCCGUGCCAGCAGCCGCGGUAAUACGGAGGGUGCGAGCGUUAAUCGGAAUUACUGGGCGUAAAGCGCGCGUAGGUGGCUUGAUAAGCCGGUUGUGAAAGCCCCGGGCUCAACCUGGGAACGGCAUCCGGAACUGUCAGGCUAGAGUGCAGGAGAGGAAGGUAGAAUUCCCGGUGUAGCGUGAAAUGCGUAGAGAUCGGGAGGAAUACCAGNGCCGGAGGCGGCCUUCUGGACUGACACUGNCACUGAGGUGCGAAAGCGUGGGUAGCAAACAGGAUUAGAUACCCUGGUAGUCCCGCCGUAAACGAUGUCGACUAGCCGUUGGGUCCUUCGCGGACUUUGUGGCGCAGUUAACGCGAUAAGUCGACCGCCUGGGGAGUACGGCCGCAAGGUUAAAACUCAAAUGAAUUGACGGGGGCCCGCACAAGCGGUGGAGCAUGUGGUUUAAUUCGAUGCAACGCGAAGAACCUUACCUACCCUUGACAUCCUGCGAACCCUUCGGAGACGAAGGGGUGCCUUCGGGAACGCAGAGACAGGUGCUGCAUGGCUGUCGUCAGCUCGUGUUGUGAAAUGUUGGGUUAAGUCCCGUAACGAGCGCAACCCUUGUCCCUAUUUGCCAGCGAUUCGGUCGGGAACUCUAGGGAGACUGCCGGUGACAAACCGGAGGAAGGUGGGGACGACGUCAAGUCAUCAUGGCCCUUACGGGUAGGGCUACACACGUGCUACAAUGGUCAGUACAAAGGGUUGCGAACUUGCGAGAGUGAGCCAAUCCCAGAAAGCUGAUCUCAGUCCGGAUCGGAGUCUGCAACUCGACUCCGUGAAGUCGGAAUCGCUAGUAAUCGUGAAUCAGAAUGUCACGGUGAAUACGUUCCCGGGCCUUGUACACACCGCCCGUCACACCAUGGGAGUGGACUGCACCAGAAGUGGUUAGCCUAACCUUCGGGAGGGCGAUCACCACGGUGUGGUUCAUGACUGGGGUGAAGUCGUAACAAGGUAGCCGUAGGGGAACCUGCGGCUGGAUCACCUCC